RNAcentral lists this ribosomal RNA (305 nucleotides) under uncultured bacterium. RNAcentral's name for it is "bacterial SSU rRNA". It matches the Rfam family "Bacterial small subunit ribosomal RNA", at positions 334 to 635 of the family's 1533-position model. The record is from RNAcentral.
GAGCCCUACGGGACGCAGCAGUGAGGAAUAUUGGUCAAUGGGCGGAAGCCUGAACCAGCCAAGCCGCGUGAGGGAAUAAGGCCCUACGGGUCGUAAACCUCUUUUGCCGGGGAGCAAGGGCCGGGACGAGUCCCGGUCCGGAGAGUACCCGGAGAAAAAGCAUCGGCUAACUCCGUGCCAGCAGCCGCGGUAAUACGUAGGUGGCAAGCGUUAUCCGGAUUUACUGGGUGUAAAGGGCGUGUAGGCGGGAAAGCAAGUCAGAUGUGAAAACCAUGGGCUCAACCUUUGGCCUGCUUUUGAAACUG